GACCAUCUGAACUGUUAGAAAAAUGGACUUGGCUGAUGCAGGGUUGUUGCAGAACUUCAAAUUGUAAAAAACGUAGUAUCUGUGGAGCAUAAUAAAAUGACAUAGGCCUGUGUUAAUCUUGACUUCUCGGCUUGGUACUGAUACCUUUCUUCCCUCUUCCAGGUUCUGUACACCUCCAUGGACCUUUUGGCCUUGGUUUGGGGGAACUUGAUGCAAACGAUGGCCCUGGAUGAUUGGGGGCCAGGAUGAAGUCUUAGUUCACACCUGCCUGAUCCAAAGAGCACCUCUCCUUAGAUAAAACUGGGAGGACUCUUGCCAGUUCCUGAGAAAGAGUUGCCUUUUCUCUUUCUACAAAGAUAUUCACUCAUUCAAGAAAUGUCGACUCAGUGGCAAUCAGAGUGUAGGCACUGAGGAGACAAAGGCAGACACUUCCCCUGUGCCUAUCUAAGGAGCAAAAUUUUCCUCUGUUCCUCUGUCCCAGAGGUGGCUGCUCUUUGUCUGCCUCUCCAGAGCCUCCUCUGAUCUUGGCUCCUAGGCGCUAUAUUGUUUUUUCACAGCAAGUUCCUAUGCUAAAGUCCUAACCCCCCAGUGGACCCUAAUCCUCUGUGGCUCAUGUCCUUAUCAGACCAGGACAUGCAGAGAAAAGACCACAAGAAGACAUGAGAAGACUGCCAUCUUUAAGCCAAAGAGAGAGGCCACCAAGGAAACCAACCCUGGUGACAGCUUAAUCUCAGACUCCAGAACUGUGAGAAAAUCUCUGUUGUUUGAACCCUCCAGUCAAUGGCAUAUUACUGUUGCAGUCUAGAGGACCAAGGACUCAUUUGGAUCUUUUAGAAAUGCUGGAUGGAUGGCUAUGAUGCUUAUAAGGAUGGAUGAGUGGGGGCUGGGGGUGGGGUAAGGGAAGAAAGAGGGAUCCUCAGUCAGCCCCUCCUCACCUGGUGGGAGGCCUCUGCCCAGUGGCAUACUCACUGUCCACUUUCUCAAUCUGCUUCCUUUGGGUGUAGACGGAUCAGUGGGGUUUGGGAUUUUUCUAGGGUGAGGGGUAAGGUUAGGGGCUCCUUUUCCUCUGCCACAGUGAAUUCUCUUUAGAGCUUCUCUUUCGUUUUUUCCUGGGGUGGGGGGAAGGGAGCUUCAUUCCACUGCAUCUGCCCAAAGGAUUUCCAUUCCUCGUUUUCUUUGGUCCCUGGGCAGGACUCAGCUUCUCUGAAAGUUUCAGUCUUGUACUGGGUCAUGCCCUUUGCUACCUCUUGCUAUCUCUGUUAUAGUUUGAAUAUGGGUGUCCCUUAAAAGGGCUAUUGUGUAGUUUAGUCCCUAGGUGGUGCUAUUGGGAGGUGCUGUGGACCUUUUUAGUAGGUGGGGCCUUGUGGGAGGUCCUUACAUUAUCAGUGCAUGCCCUGGAAGAGCAUCAUGGGACCCCUUUUUCUUUGCUUCCUGGUUAAUAAGGUGUUUUUCUCUGCUGCAUCAGCUUAUCAUGAUGUGCUACUCUUGCCUGCGGCCCAGUGAAUUGGACCAUUUGAUCAUGGAGUGGAACUUCGGAAUCAUAAGCUAAAAUAAACCUUUUCUUUUUACAGAUUGCCUCAGGUAUUGCAUUAUUGCAAUGGAAAACUGACCAAUAUACCUCCAAGUGUUUGUUCAGGCCAUUCACUCUGCUAGGAGUAUCUUCUGCCACUCACCAGCCUCACUGACUGUUCAACCCAUUGCAGUCCUGCGAGAGACAUGACAAUAUCCAACAGUGGGCUGGUCAAUGUGUAACAAAGCCUCUUAGAACAAGUAAAACAAAAGAAAUCCUGAUUUGUUGCAUUUGUUGACUUCCAUGGUAUAAAUACUCUCAUCAUGGCCAAUUUCUACUGAAGUGAAGCCUCUGAACAGGCAGUUGAAUUGGGAAGGGACAUUUCUAUAGCACAUCACUGUAUUGUAUUCCUGCUAUUGAGAUACAAUAGAUGUAAAUAAGAGUAAAAUACAAUAACUA
Molecule: long non-coding RNA, 1969 nt
Filed under: Marmota monax (woodchuck)
Lineage: Eukaryota; Metazoa; Chordata; Mammalia; Rodentia; Sciuridae
Source: RNAcentral